Molecule: long non-coding RNA, 198 nt
Organism: Perognathus longimembris pacificus (Pacific pocket mouse)
Lineage: Eukaryota; Metazoa; Chordata; Mammalia; Rodentia; Heteromyidae
Exons: 3
Source: RefSeq, a predicted model, not a curated record
UGUCCCCCACUUAUCUUUUGAUAUACUGUCUUGGUACUUGACAGCUUUCCCUGAGAUUUGAACCUCUGUCCCUCUUCCUUGCAGGUCAUCACCGAUGUCCUGCCUCCAUUGGUAUCUCUGGUUCUGAGUCAAAAUGGUAAGCAAGGUCUGAAGAUGCAGUUCAGCUGUUCCACAUGUGUGCAACAGCUGUUUCUCCAC